UAGGGAAUCUUCCACAAUGGACGCAAGUCUGAUGGAGCAACGCCGCGUGAGUGAAGAAGGUUUUCGGAUCGUAAAGCUCUGUUGUUGGUGAAGAAGGAUAGAGGUAGUAACUGGCCUUUAUUUGACGGUAAUCAACCAGAAAGUCACGGCUAACUACGUGCCAGCAGCCGCGGUAAUACGUAGGUGGCAAGCGUUGUCCGGAUUUAUUGGGCGUAAAGCGAGCGCAGGCGGAAGAAUAAGUCUGAUGUGAAAGCCCUCGGCUUAACCGAGGAACUGCAUCGGAAACUGUUUUUCUUGAGUGCAGAAGAGGAGAGUGGAAUUCCAUGUGUAGCGGUGGAAUGCGUAGAUAUAUGGAAGAACACCAGUGGCGAAGUCGACUCUCUGGUCUGCAACUGACGCUGAGGCUCGAAAGCAUGGGUAGCGAACAGG
RNAcentral lists this ribosomal RNA (429 nucleotides) under bacterium. RNAcentral describes it as "partial 16S ribosomal RNA". It matches the Rfam family "Bacterial small subunit ribosomal RNA", at positions 355 to 776 of the family's 1533-position model. The record is from RNAcentral.